This 3361-nucleotide long non-coding RNA is filed under the name Homo sapiens (human). RNAcentral describes it as "HSALNT0326606". Lineage: Eukaryota; Metazoa; Chordata; Mammalia; Primates; Hominidae. The record is from RNAcentral.
AUCUGAGAUAACAAAAACAAUUUGCAAAUAGUCAAUAAACAGUGCAUUCAUUCAUUAUUACUAGAACUACAUUCAUGGAAAAUAAUUUAUAUAAACUAACCAAAAGUCGUUUUUUAAAAAAGGUAAUAUGAUUUAUUUAGAUGGGUUCAACCAUCAGAUUUUUGGGGGGAGGAGGGUAAUCCAUGAAUCUAUUUGUGUGCUAAGUAUUGCUAUAAAUUGAAUGUGUUUUUCACAUCUAUUUAUUACUAUUUUUCAAGUCCUAUAGAUGCAGUUUUGAUUAGUAAAAUGCAAGUUUAUUUUAAGAUGUGACUAAAUUUUUAUCUGAGAAAAUACAUUAUGGCAAAAAGCAAUAACUGGAUACUAAAAAUAUAAUGACCAUUAUGUGAGAGUAUGUAGAAUUCAAGUAUUAAAAAAAGAAGUCCUCCUACCUGAACAUGUUGGUGUAACUGAGCCCAUAUUCAGCUGCCCACUGCUUGAAAGUGAGCCACGAGAAACGAGGUUGGGAAUGCCUUGUUAUCCCCCCUCCCUUUAUAGUUUAGACACAACAACAGCAUUAAUGUUAAAAUAGAGAUCAUGAGACUGGCAGCACAGCCUGUGGCUAUAAGAUACCAAAUCAUAAACAGGACCUAAGGCCAUGCCCGGCAAAGGUUAAGUCUCCACCCCAAGAUAAACGUGUGUUACAUGCAUGUUUGUUCAGUACACAUGUGUCAAGACCACCUUCAUAAAUAUUUAUAGCUACUUCUGUAACCCAUUAAAUAUGUAUGUUGAGCUGAUCUAUCAUAUACCCACAGGAGCCCUGGAUACAAUUGACAGUAGGGAGCAAAUGUAUUGAUUUUCUUGCUGAUAUGGUAGGCCAUUCCAGGUUUCUGCCCUGGUGUGAGAACCAACCGAUGCUCUAAGAGAUUUAACAAUUGCCAAAUAUGUUAAGACGCUAGAUAUUAUACUAACUUUUGUUUAUAAGUUUGCUUCCAGCAGAAUCAUUUUUCCCAUGGAUAUGGACCUGCAUCCUUUUCAACUAAGAAAUAGGUCCUCCUAAAGACCUGGAAGGAACAAGGGCCUGAACAUCAGCUCACUGCCAGGUCAAAAAGUUUCAUUCCACAGUUGCCCCACGUUGACCCUGUUUGGCAAGAAGUAGCCAGCUGAGAGAUGACAUCCCAUUGUCCCUAAUCCCACAAAAUUGUGGAAUGAGCCUUUGACAGUGGGGAAUUGUAGCAGUGAAACAGCAAAAAAAAAAAACCCAACAUAACUAAUUCCAUUUUUAUUUAAGGGGCCUACACCCAUUCCUGCACGUUUGCUAGGGUAAUUUUAGAGCACUGAGAUAAUAUACAAAAACAGCAAUCAAAUAUUUUGUAAAUCGAACUCUGGGAUUAAAGAGGAAGUAUAUAAACAACUAAUUAUGUUUUGUUAAAGAUUUACAGGAGCAUUGUGACCCGACCAAGGACAAAAAAGUUCCCAGCCUCCUUCUCUCAGACCUUUCAUGGUUCCUGAUAGUUGGGGAAUGAUCCGCUGUGCUGCUGCUGUAGCAUCAACGAAUACAUAUACUUCAUCAGCCUCCUCCAUUUCUAAUCUUAGUACUCAGUCCAGCAGUUUGAGUUUGAAAGCUGGGUGAAGUCUUGGAGAAGCUGGAGAGCAGCCCGGGUUUCCUGCUGCGUGAAGGCGAAAGCCUAGAGCUGGUUGGAACAAGCCUCUCUACUCUGACUUAGGUUUGCUCUUCUGGAAAGCUGUGAAAGAGAAGCCGUUUGCAAGGUCAUGUAGAGUAUGGCCCCUCCAGAGGGCCCGGCACCAUCCCAGGCAUUUCACACAUCUCACCCCACGGAGUUGUUAUGCAGGGGAUUACCAAGAGGCCAUUUUGACACAACUGUUUUAACACAGAGCUUAAAAAAUAAAUUAUCAGGUAAUGUCAACUGCCCUGUUUUGACCCUCACACCACUCUGGCGUGUCUCCUCAAUUAUCAUUUUUGUUGAAACCUGUUACCUAGUAUGUACUAUUUUUAUUAUCUUUUCUAGCGCCCCUCUUUCCACUCCCUGUCCCUGAACCUAGCCUACCCCACCCCACCACCACUUCAUUCCUCCUUGUUGGUACCAGCUGGCAAAAUCUAUAUUAUUAGAAAAUUUCUUUGAUAAAAUUGACACUAAUAAAAUAUCUGAAAAUCCACUUUUCUCACGCCAAAGGAUAUUUGAUGAAAAUGAAUUAUGGUAACAGUUAUUCAAAAUGUACAAAAGGUUGAAAGAUAAUAUUUUAUUUAUGAUUAAUUCAUAAGAAAAUUAUAGGAGAUUUAUUUCAGAUAUUUGGAAGUAGUUCUGUGUUUGUAUUCCUUUUUCAGGUGCAAAGUCGCAAAAUUCUUCUCUCCAUUCUGAUACAUUUAAGCACUUUUAUGAUGGCUCUCCCCUUUACAUGUUCUGCUUGUAUUCUUGGUCUUUUCAAGACUGAACAAAUAAAAUUCAUUUACCAAUUGUCACACAUCCACUGUUCCACACUGAACUAGAAUUUGCAUUUGUCAAUGUGCAAACUUUGACCAAGUUGUCUAUUUGGCUAUUGCCUCAUUAGUCUCUUAAACUUUAUAUUUAAGGUAAAAAAAUAACAUAUUUGAUGAAGUCCUCACCAUUUGACUUGAGGACACAUGUGGAGAUGGCAUAGUGGUUAAGAAAGAAUACAGGCAAACUGGUUUUGAAUCCUGGCCCCAUCCACUUUCACUGUAAAGUAAUAUUAGGAAAUUCAUUUAACUUCUUUGUGCUGCAACACACUGUGAGGAGUAAGUGAGUUCUAAAGUGCUUAAUAUCUGUGCCAGGUAUUCUUUCAAGUGUUAUAUGCAUGUUAGCAAUUAUUUUUACUAAUUUAAAAUUGGGUGCAUUUUCUGUUUAGAUGAACAUUCCACUUAGCAGUAAUAAGCAGUUUUCUUUUUUCCUUACUCAUUUUUGAUGCAACUCUAGGAAUAGAAAUUGUAGUUGUGGAAAGAGGCAGGUUUGGGGCAAAAAGCAGAGUAGGGGCUGGGGAAAGGUAUAGAGGUUGAGCAUGGCUCAGGCAUGAACAACGUACAGGUUUACUGGGUAGUUUUGCAAAAGUGCUAUUAAAAGAGAACAGAAGAGAUGAGGUGAUGUUUCCGUUAUGCAUACAACUCAAUUUUUUUUUUCACUGAAGAUUUUAUUGCUUGAUUUUUCUCCCCAUAGCAAAAUGCUCCAGAGAUAAAAAAAAAAGUUGCACCAGGAAGACUUCAUCAAAAUGUCAUGUGCUUCAUUGUUUAAGCAGGUAAAGUAUUGUUGGGUUGUGAAAAUGAAAAAGUGAUAUCAGUAGACUUAGAGGGCCUCAUCCCCGUUCAGGCCCACUUCUGAAUGGGCCUGAUGGGGAAAGGGAAGGAGAAGAG